GGAGCAAAGAAGACUUCACACACCCACAGACAAAGUCACAGGCCACUUCCAGAGCCAGAAAGAGAGGGAAAUGAAGACAAACUUGGCCUCCUUUUGGAACCCUUCAGUAUUCUUCAUUUCUCAAACUCCACCUGCCACUUUCAAAGCAGGAGAAUCUUCUCUCCCCCCUUCUUAUUCUGAAAACUCCAGUGGACCCUGAGCUCUUCCAUAUAUCUUUGUGAAUUCAUCAGGGAAUAUCCAUACUGGAUCAGACCCAAGGUCCAUCUAGUCCAGGACUCUGUCUCUGACCGUGCCCAAUACCAGCUGCUUCUGAGGGAGAAAAGUGGAAGGAACUGCUGAGAGAAAUUCUAUGUCCUUCACUGUACAGGAGGUCAAAGUAGAUGAAUGCAACGAUCCCUUCUGGCUUUAAAAUGGAUGACUCUUUAGAAUUACUUUAGAAAAGGGCUAGCGUACUCUGCCACCUCAUCAACGGGAACAAUCUAUUUCCUGUAUCCUUAUGCCAAACCUGAACACUGUAACAUGACAUGGGUGUUUCAUUGACAUAAUAAUUGAAGCAGCAUUUUUUCCAAAUUAAGAAAGAUGACUUUGUAAUAACUGAUUUUACUAUAAGUAAAUAAAGGGUAACUAUAAAACCCACAGCUCAAGGCAUUGCAUGAUCCAUUCUAGAGCCUGAUAUACAGAAGUUUGAGUCUGCUAUAGCUUCCCCACAAGAAGAGUAAGUCUUUCAGCUCUCCCAGCAGAUACUUAUGCUUUUAAUGCAGAAGGUCCAAGGUUCAAGCCCGCUGUCAGCAGAACCCUGAUUGUCUACAGUUGGACUUGUCAGUAUUCAGAAGUCAUUCCCAGUCCCCCCUGGAUAG
Molecule: non-coding RNA, 857 nt
Organism: Chrysemys picta bellii (western painted turtle)
Lineage: Eukaryota; Metazoa; Chordata; Testudines; Emydidae
Source: RefSeq, a predicted model, not a curated record